RNAcentral lists this ribosomal RNA (465 nucleotides) under Vreelandella stevensii. RNAcentral's name for it is "partial 16S ribosomal RNA". It matches the Rfam family "Bacterial small subunit ribosomal RNA", at positions 338 to 795 of the family's 1533-position model. The record is from RNAcentral. Lineage: Bacteria; Pseudomonadati; Pseudomonadota; Gammaproteobacteria; Oceanospirillales; Halomonadaceae.
CCUACGGGUGGCAGCAGUGGGGAAUAUUGGACAAUGGGGGCAACCCUGAUCCAGCCAUGCCGCGUGUGUGAAGAAGGCCCUCGGGUUGUAAAGCACUUUCAGUGAGGAAGAACGCCUGGUGGUUAAUACCCAUCAGGAAAGACAUCACUCACAGAAGAAGCACCGGCUAACUCCGUGCCAGCAGCCGCGGUAAUACGGAGGGUGCGAGCGUUAAUCGGAAUUACUGGGCGUAAAGCGCGCGUAGGUGGCUUGAUAAGCCGGUUGUGAAAGCCCCGGGCUCAACCUGGGAACGGCAUCCGGAACUGUCAAGCUAGAGUGCAGGAGAGGAAGGUAGAAUUCCCGGUGUAGCGGUGAAAUGCGUAGAGAUCGGGAGGAAUACCAGUGGCGAAGGCGGCCUUCUGGACUGACACAGACACUGAGGUACGAAAGCGUGGGUAGCAAACAGGAUUAGAUACCCGAGUAGUC